GACGAACGCUGGCGGCGUGCUUAACACAUGCAAGUCGAACGGAAAGGCCCUGCUUUUGUGGGGUGCUCGAGUGGCGAACGGGUGAGUAACACGUGAGUAACCUGCCCUUGACUUUGGGAUAACUUCAGGAAACUGGGGCUAAUACCAGAUAGGAGCUCCUGCUGCAUGGUGGGGGUUGGAAAGUUUCGGCGGUUGGGGAUGGACUCGCGGCUUAUCAGCUUGUUGGUGGGGUAGUGGCUUACCAAGGCUUUGACGGGUAGCCGGCCUGAGAGGGUGACCGGCCACAUUGGGACUGAGAUACGGCCCAGACUCCUACGGGAGGCACCAGUGGGGAAUAUUGCACAAUGGGCGGAAGCCUGAUGCAGCAACGCCGCGUGCGGGAUGACGGCCUUCGGGUUGUAAACCGCUUUCGCCUGUGACGAAGCGUGAGUGACGGUAAUGGGCAAAGAAGCACCGGCUAACUACGUG
This 468-nucleotide ribosomal RNA is filed under the name uncultured bacterium. Its description in RNAcentral is "partial 16S ribosomal RNA". It matches the Rfam family "Bacterial small subunit ribosomal RNA", at positions 28 to 507 of the family's 1533-position model. The record is from RNAcentral.